CCUACGGGGGGCUGCAGUGGGGAAUAUUGCGCAAUGGGCGAAAGCCUGACGCAGCGACGCCGCGUGAGGGAUGAAGGUCUUCGGAUCGUAAACCUCUGUCAGCAGGGAAGAACGGUCACUGUGCUAAUCAGCAGUGAAUUGACGGUACCUGCAACGGAAGCACCGGCUAACUCCGUGCCAGCAGCCGCGGUAAUACGGAGGGUGCGAGCGUUAAUCGGAAUUACUGGGCGUAAAGCGCUCGUAGGCGGUAUGUCAAGUCAAGGGUGAAAUGCCCGCGCUCAACGUAGGAACUGCAUUUGAAACUGGCAAACUGGAGUGUGUGAGAGGAUAGUGGAAUUCCAGGUGUAGGAGUGAAAUCCGUAGAUAUCUGGAGGAACAUCAGUGGCGAAGGCGACUAUCUGGCACAUAACUGACGCUGAGGAGCGAAAGCGUGGGUAGCAAACAGGAUUAGAUACCCUUGUAGUC
This 465-nucleotide ribosomal RNA is filed under the name uncultured bacterium. Its description in RNAcentral is "partial 16S ribosomal RNA". It matches the Rfam family "Bacterial small subunit ribosomal RNA", at positions 338 to 795 of the family's 1533-position model. The record is from RNAcentral.